Small nucleolar RNA from Argentina anserina (silverweed cinquefoil), 113 nucleotides. RefSeq annotates it as small nucleolar RNA Z278. The record is from RefSeq and is a predicted model, not a curated record. NCBI's taxonomy places the organism in Eukaryota, Viridiplantae, Streptophyta, Magnoliopsida, Rosales, Rosaceae. The transcript has a single exon.
ACCAUUGAUGAUUCAAUCCGUUUGUUGGAGGUGUAGUCUAGCCGAGACCCUGAAAAGGGAGAACCCCUUGGUGAAGCUGCAUUUCAUAUGACAUAAAUGGAUUCAACUGAGGU